RNAcentral lists this long non-coding RNA (1379 nucleotides) under Nicotiana tabacum (common tobacco). Its description in RNAcentral is "long non-coding RNA (NTAB_LNC016587)". The record is from RNAcentral. Lineage: Eukaryota; Viridiplantae; Streptophyta; Magnoliopsida; Solanales; Solanaceae.
CUUAUUUAAAAAAAUAUAGGGUAUUACAACUUACUCUCGAGAUAUUUUCAUCACAUAACACUAACAGUUACUUGGUUAAAUUACCAACAUUAAGCAUCUAAGUUGAUUGAGCACAAGAUGUAGUAGCAUACUUCAACAUAUUUACAACAUGUGCAGAAGGCACAAGUAUAUUGUCUGGUAAAACCAUCUUCAAGCAUUAGACAUAUAAUACCCCAAAAUAUAAGUACAGUUUGUAUCUUUUAAGUAACCCAUCCUCAGCAAUGAGCUGGAGCUAAAUUCCAAGCUUAAUAGUCAUUUUUCUGCAGUCCAAAAACCACAACAUAGGGAGAUUUUGAUGUACCCUGAAAUAGCAGAUAUACACCAGUCAAUUAAGGAAACUGGAGUUGAGAUAAGCACAACGAUAAAGUCAAAGCUCAGAGCAAGAUCCUUACAGACAUCCGCAGGUAUCUUGAAAAUAAGUUCCUUCAAAAGAGUGUUAGUUUAUAUUCAAAACAGUAGUGCAUAUAUAGAGUUGGUGAAAUUGAGAAAACAUAUAUCUAAAACAUUGCCAUUUGCAUAAGUCUGCCUAGAGAUUGUCAAAGUAGCACAGUUGACAUUUGUGGAGGUUAAUUCUAUACUUCUUGCAGGUACAUGCAAUAAUAGAGACAAAAUCUUAGUAGUUGAUGAGCUGGUAUUUGAGGAGACAGCGAGCAAAAGCAGCCUUGAAUUCCUGUGUUCACUAAAACUAAUGUUAGUACUUUAGCUCAUACUGCAUGCACAUUCUUUACAAUGGAAAUUGAGAGGAAAUAUAUCAAAAUUUAAUAGGUCUAUACUCCAGAUAAAAGUGCAUAUAAAGUUGCUAUUCCUAGAAAAUCAGAUAUAUAUCAACUUAUCCAAAGGGUAUACAAUGAGAAUAAUUUCAGCAGUAUGUACAAGUUCUAUAGGAGAGCCAAAAUUGGCCAAAAAGAAUGUGGAGUGCUUGCUAGAUGAACGAUCUCUAGAAGUUAUAAAUUUCCACCUGCAGAUCUUGGUUUCUAGAGACAUUCUUCUUUUUCUUUUGUUCUAUUUUUAUCAUUCUAUUCGAUCAUAUAAAGUUCAUCAAAAUUGCUCAAAAAUUCAUUUCAACAUAUUUUUCUCCUAAGUUAUAUCCAAUGUGAGUGAAAAAAACUCUACCUAAGAGACUGAGUAUUUUGUUUAAAAAACUGCAGAAACAAUAUAUUACAUACCCAGCUACGGAUAUAGGAAUUAAAGGAGAAAACUUUGGCUAUACAUCUAGUACCAUAAAUGAUGUUUACAUGGUUCCAGUUAAGAAAGACCAACUGAUUUACCCAUAUAAACUUAAUGAGCAGCAGAAAGUAGUUGAAAGUACAAGUACUUAUUAAAUGAAAUUACUAGGAACA